Fundulus heteroclitus (mummichog) is the source of this 270-nucleotide long non-coding RNA. RefSeq lists it as uncharacterized. The record is from RefSeq and is a predicted model, not a curated record. NCBI's taxonomy places the organism in Eukaryota, Metazoa, Chordata, Actinopteri, Cyprinodontiformes, Fundulidae. The transcript has 3 exons.
CAGCACUCUUAAAAUGGUGGUUUACAUUGCUCCUCCUGGCCUCAUUGUGCUUUUACUUGCUUUGGUUAUUGCAUAUAAAUGCAAAUGGAAAGGAACCGAAAUCAAGAAUGACAAAGGGAGAACGCUUGAAGCUCUGGAGAUGAUUUCCGUAAAGCCAGAAGAGCCCGUUUACAAGAACAUUCAUGAUGAGGCACCACUGGACAGCCAGGAUAAUGUUUAUGAAAACAUUCCAACAAUAAAAGACAUCUUCUCUGUGUAUAUGUAGUACAG